AGAUACUCAGGAGGCUGAGGCAGGGGAAUCGCUUGAACCUGGGAGGCGGAGAUUGCAGUGAGCCGAGACUGCGCCACGGCACUCCAGCCUGGUGACAGAGCAAGACUCCGUCUCAAAAAGAAAAAAAAGAAGAAGAAGAAGAACAGAAAAUAUAGAUUACCAGAAGGACCAGGGGAUCACACACCUGAAAAAAGAUUUCUUGCUCAUUUGUUCCUUAGAUCUCCGCCAAGACUGCUGGCUCCAGGCUGCCAGCCACGUGCCUUGGGUACCCUACAAAUUCUGAGACCGGAUCCAAGAACCACACAACACAGAAUGAUACAGGAAUAUGAACCCAAAGGAUGCAGAGUCCCUAACUCAAACCCAGCCCUCAGGGGCCAGCUGUGCUCCAGGGUGCAGGGACAGAGAGACGCAAAGGCAACCCAGGCCGCUGUGGCUCCUGGGGCACACGGCCAGCAGUGGAAGUGGUGUCAGAAAGACAGAUGGAAACCUCCUCGCUGAAUGGGGCUGGGAACCACAGCGGUGGGACCAAGAGAGAGAACAGCUCAGACCUGAGAGUUACGCCUGUGUGUGAUCCAAGCUGUGACGUGUGUUUUAUUCACAGACAUAAAAGCUCAAAAUGAGCAGGUAUGAGGUUAACGUGGAUAAGAUGAGAACAGCUGCACAAGCCCCAAGGAGCACCCAGCAAGUGUCGGCGAACGAUGGCACCCACGCACCCGCCCAGCAGGCAACAGCCGUGUACCUCCAGGUCGGAGUUGAUGGAGGAGACCUCAGAGGAGCUGCCGGAAGACACCCGGGCCCGGAUGACCUGAACGGGAGGGUACGACGGGGGGUCCUGCAGGGACGCAUCUCCGGCGCUCGUCUGCCCGUCACCUGGCAGCCUGGUGGCACUGCAGCCUGCCUGCAAGGUGUGUGAGAAAGGGCAGGCAAGGACACGUAGUUUAGUUUUGAUGGUUGAAUUGUCAAAGCAUUCACAUACUUCAGUGUUCAAAAUGUACAAAAGGGUGUGCAGGGCAGCAUCUACCUGUGCUCUCCUGCCCUGGCCAUCCAGCUCUCCCCAGGGCAGCCAGUGCCCUGUGUCUUGUGUAUCCCUCCAGAUACUCUAUACACAUACAACCAAAUCCACGUACACAUAUUUCCCCCGAUUUCCAAAAUGAUAGCACACACUCCAUUCUCUUAAGCACCUUGCUUUUUUUCACCUAACACUAUGCCUUAGAGAUAGUUCUGUAUCAGAAGAUUUGGGAGGUUUUUGGUAGCAUUUCAGGUGUUCCCAGUCUAUUAACCCAUCCCCUACUAAUGGGUGCUUAAUGUGUUUCCAGUCUCUUGCUUUUGCAAUCAAUACUGACUGCAGUAAAUUACACUGUACAUCCAAGAUUUCAGAGUAAAGGAUAAAUUCCCAGAGGCGGAAUUGCUGGAUUAAAGAGAGUAUGUACAUUUGAAAUCUGUAUAGCUACUGCUAAAAACGCACCCCAUAGAGGCCUUCCUCAUGCCCACCAGCAGGGGAUGAAAGUGAGUUGGGAUGAAAUAGGAAGGUUUAAGGUAGAAAGAAACUUGUGAGAUUUUCUAUGUAUCUAUGUAUCUAUCUAUGUAUCUAUCUAUGUAUGUAUCUAUCUAUGUAUCUAUUUAUGUAUCUGUCUAUCUACCAAUCUAUCUAUCUGUCUCAGACCAAAGCUUCCCCCCAUGGGCUCAUGGGGACUCCUCAGAGAUCUACAAAGCUCCACCAGCUGAACUUUUGAAGUCCUGCAGGAUUCACAUCAUUCCACUGACACGUGACAGAGCAGACAACCUGCUUUCCAGACCAGCAUCUUCCACUAAUUAACCAUGUGAUCUAAUGUAUUAGUUUGUUUUCAUGCUGCUGACAAAGACAUACCCAAGACUGGGAAGAAGAAGAGGUUUAAUGGACUUACAGUUCCACAUGGCUGGGGAGGCCUCACAAUCACGGCAGAAGGCAAAGGAGGAGCAAGUCACGUCUUACAUGGAUGGCAGCAGGCAAAGAGAGAGCUUGUGUAGGGGAGCUCCUCUUUAUAAAACCAUCAGAUCUCGUGAGACUAAUUCACUGUCACGAGAACAGCACGGGAAAGACUUGACCCCAUAAUUCAAUUACCUCCCACUGGGUCCCUCCCACAACACGUGGGAAUUCAAGAUGAGAUUUGCGUGGGGACACAUCCAAACCACAUCACCUAAGAAAGAAAGUUGUCCUCUCUGAGUCUCAGUUUCCUCAUCUAUAAAAGGGGAUGAUAAUCCCUGCUUUGCCUCCAGUGAGGGGGUGUCAUGGGGCUCAGAUGUAAAUGCCUGGGACACAUGAGGAGAAUGGCUAUGAGUACUCGACCCAAAUCCAGCGGGGCUUCAGCCCUUGAUGGGUUAGGUGCACAAGCUCCUGUCAGAGUCAGGUGGACUGGCAGAGAAAAUCCACAAGAGAAACAAAGGCAGCAUUCUGGAAGCAGGAACACAGGUGAGGGGCCACCCUGCUUCCCAGCUGGGAAGGAUGCUGAAACAGAAGGCUCUGGAUGGGAGUGGGGAAGCAGAUGCCUCCCAGGAACAACAAUGACAAAUUCUAUAAAUGCCCAAGGCCUGACCACACCUGCGUCAAAAGAUAAAACAGAAUUUUCAAACACUCCAAGCCGAGGAUGCAGGAUUUGAUCCAUAUGGCCCCAUGGGACCCCUCUGCCCCUCUGGAGGCUCAGCCUGAACCACAGUGCUGCUCCCGCUGCGUCUCCUGGAAAAUCGCUCCUUAGGACCAGUGCUCAGGGGGCUUGCUGGGAAAACAAGGGAGCACCUCUGCAGCUCUCCUUACCCAUUUCCAGAUGGCCCUUCUAAUGGGAUAUGUAUCAGUGGACACGGCCAACAGGGUGCCUGUUUCCCCACAGUCUUGCCCAUUGGGAUAUUCACAUUACAACAGUGUUUAAAACUGCUAACCGAGCAGGUACAAAGCGGCAGCACAGAGAGCAUAUUCUCUUCAUAAAAGCCCAGGUCCCUGAAUCGGGCAGGCUUAGUUUGAAUCCUCUUUCUGUGAUUUUUCUAACUGUAGGAUCUUGGGCAAGUUACUUAACCUCUCUGUGCCUCAAUUUAAAAUAACAUUAUUAAUUGUUAAUAAAAUAAUAAUAAUAGAUACAGGCCAGGCACGGUGGCUCACACCUGUAAUCCCAGCACUUUGGGAGGCCGAGGCAGGCGGAUCACUUGAGGUCAGGAGUUUGAGAACAGCCUGGACAACAUGGCGAAACCCCUUCUCUACUAAAAAUACACACACACAAAAUAGCCAAGCAUGGUGGCAUAUGCCCAUAGUCUCAGUUAUUUGGGAGGCUGAGGCAUGAGAAUCGAGAAUCUCUUGAACACAGGAGGUGUGGGUCACAGUGAGCCGUGAUUGUGCCACUGCACUCCAGCCUGGGCGACAGAGCGAGACUCUGCCUCAAAAAAAAAAAGGAAAGAAUAAAAGAAAAAAUAAAAAUAAAACAAAA
Homo sapiens (human) is the source of this 3452-nucleotide long non-coding RNA. RefSeq lists it as uncharacterized. The record is from RefSeq and is a predicted model, not a curated record. Lineage: Eukaryota; Metazoa; Chordata; Mammalia; Primates; Hominidae. The transcript has 4 exons.